This is a long non-coding RNA of Otolemur garnettii (small-eared galago), 309 nucleotides long. RefSeq lists it as uncharacterized. The record is from RefSeq and is a predicted model, not a curated record. Lineage: Eukaryota; Metazoa; Chordata; Mammalia; Primates; Galagidae. The transcript has 2 exons.
GCCACCUUCCAGUAAUUCACCAAAAUGACGAACACAAAGGGAAAAAGGAGAGGCACCCGAUACAUGUUCUCUAGGCCUUUUAGAAAGCACGGAAAUGGGUACUGUUCAAAAAGGCAUGCCACACAAAUGUUACCAUGGCAAAACUGGAAGGGUCUACAAUGUUACCCAGCAUGCUGUUGGCAUUGUUGUAAACAAACAAGUUAAGGGCAAGAUUCUUGCCAAGAGGAUUAAUGUUCGUAUUGAGCAUAUUAAGCACUCUAAGAGCUGAGACAGCUUCCUGAAAUGUGUGAAGGAAAAUGAUCAGAAAAA